GUAUAUAUAGGUAUACAUUAUUUGCCUUGUCAAUUCGAACAGAAACAUAACAUUGUCGUAAUAAUGAAAUUUACUGGAGUAUUGUUCUACAUUUUGCUAGUUAUGGCAGUCAUUUUUGACUCUACUGACGCUUUUUUUGGGAGUCGUCUAAACGUUAAACACGAGCGCGUUAACAUCAAUGUUAAGAUGGAAAAGCCUGUGAGAAAGCGUCCUAUAGGAUAUG
Molecule: long non-coding RNA, 223 nt
Organism: Sitophilus oryzae (rice weevil)
Lineage: Eukaryota; Metazoa; Arthropoda; Insecta; Coleoptera; Curculionidae
Exons: 2
Source: RefSeq, a predicted model, not a curated record